This 497-nucleotide ribosomal RNA is filed under the name uncultured bacterium. RNAcentral describes it as "partial 16S ribosomal RNA". It matches the Rfam family "Bacterial small subunit ribosomal RNA", at positions 28 to 507 of the family's 1533-position model. The record is from RNAcentral.
GAUGAACGCUGGCGGCGUGCCUAAUACAUGCAAGUCGAGCGAACAGAUGAGGAGCUUGCUCCUCUGACGUUAGCGGCGGACGGGUGAGUAACACGUGGAUAACCUACCUAUAAGACUGGGAUAACUUCGGGAAACCGGAGCUAAUACCGGAUAAUAUAUUGAACCGCAUGGUUCAAUAGUGAAAGACGGUUUUGCUGUCACUUAUAGAUGGAUCCGCGCCGCAUUAGCUAGUUGGUAAGGUAACGGCUUGCCAAGGCAACGAUGCGUAGCCGACCUGAGAGGGUGAUCGGCCACACUGGAACUGAGACACGGUCCAGACUCCUACGGGAGGCAGCAGUAGGGAAUCUUCCGCAAUGGGCGAAAGCCUGACGGAGCAACGCCGCGUGAGUGAUGAAGGUCUUCGGAUCGUAAAACUCUGUUAUUAGGGAAGAACAAAUGUGUAAGUAACUAUGCACGUCUUGACGGCACCUAAUCAGAAAGCCACGGCUAACUACGUG